RNAcentral lists this unclassified non-coding RNA (240 nucleotides) under Glomeraceae sp. RNAcentral describes it as "partial contains 5.8S ribosomal RNA and internal transcribed spacer 2". The stretch from base 1 to 72 matches the Rfam family "5.8S ribosomal RNA", at positions 84 to 154 of the family's 154-position model. The record is from RNAcentral. Lineage: Eukaryota; Fungi; Glomeromycota; Glomeromycetes; Glomerales; Glomeraceae.
GUGAAUCAUCGAAUUUUUGAACGCAAAUUGCACUCUCCGGUUUUCCGGGAGAGUAUGCCUUUUUGAGGGUCGGUUUAAAAAAUAAUCUAGGCUUCUUCUUUUUUGGCGCUUCGGAAUUGAGUCAUCUUCCACCUUUCUGGGUUGUAUGCGACCUAAAAUUUUUCUUACUAUUUCUACGAACGUGUCUAAUAAUUUUUCUUGUACGUUCGCGACAUCUAAUUCGUAUUGGGGUCGACCGCC